UACGUAGGGUCCGAGCGUUGUCCGGAAUUACUGGGCGUAAAGAGCUCGUAGGUGGUUUGUCGCGUUGUUCGUGAAAACUCACAGCUCAACUGUGGGCGUGCGGGCGAUACGGGCAGACUAGAGUACUGCAGGGGAGACUGGAAUUCCCGGUGUAGCGGUGAAAUGCGUAGAUAUCGGGAGGAAUACCUAUGGCGAAAGCAAGUUUCUGGGCCGUUACUGACGCUGAGCUGCGAAAGCUAGGGGAGCAAACAGG
RNAcentral lists this ribosomal RNA (253 nucleotides) under uncultured bacterium. Its description in RNAcentral is "partial 16S ribosomal RNA". It matches the Rfam family "Bacterial small subunit ribosomal RNA", at positions 524 to 776 of the family's 1533-position model. The record is from RNAcentral.